UGUAAGCGUAUACCAAAGUUGUUGCAGUUAAAACGCUCGUAGUCGGAAUUUGGCAGUUCCGGAUGUGUGCACGUCGUGUGCGCACUUCGCGGGGAUUGCUUUUGUGGUAUUGCGUAGGAUGAGGCACUUUUAUUAGUGAACGUCCUCACGCAACCACUUUUUACUGUGAGAAAAUCAGAGUGCUCAAAGCAGGCAUUUGCCGUGAAUGUAUUAGCAUGGAAUAAUAGAAUAGGACUUGGUUCUAUUUUGUUGGUUUGUUGGGACUGAGUAAUGAUUAAGAGGGACAGUUGGGGGCAUUUGUAUUUCGGUGCUAGAGGUGAAAUUCUUAGAUUACCGAAAGACAAACUGCUGCGAAAGCGUCUGCCAAGGAUGUUUUCAUUGA
Molecule: ribosomal RNA, 382 nt
Filed under: uncultured eukaryote
Lineage: Eukaryota
Description: partial 18S ribosomal RNA
Rfam family: Eukaryotic small subunit ribosomal RNA
Source: RNAcentral